GGGUUGUGAGGUUAAGCGACUAAGCGUACACGGUGGAUGCCCUGGCAGUCAGAGGCGAUGAAGGGCGUGCUAAUCUGCGAUAAGCGCCGGUAAGGUGAUAUGAACCGUUAUAACCGGCGAUACCCGAAUGGGGAAACCCAGUGUGACUCGUCACACUAUCAUUAACUGAAUCCAUAGGUUAAUGAGGCGAACCGGGGGAACUGAAACAUCUAAGUACCCCGAGGAA
RNAcentral lists this ribosomal RNA (226 nucleotides) under Salmonella enterica. RNAcentral describes it as "partial 23S ribosomal RNA". It matches the Rfam family "Bacterial large subunit ribosomal RNA", at positions 1 to 218 of the family's 2925-position model. The record is from RNAcentral. RNAcentral also lists the same sequence under 1 other name. Lineage: Bacteria; Pseudomonadati; Pseudomonadota; Gammaproteobacteria; Enterobacterales; Enterobacteriaceae.